Myxocyprinus asiaticus (Chinese sucker) is the source of this 1922-nucleotide long non-coding RNA. RefSeq lists it as uncharacterized. The transcript is spliced from 3 exons. The record is from RefSeq and is a predicted model, not a curated record. NCBI's taxonomy places the organism in Eukaryota, Metazoa, Chordata, Actinopteri, Cypriniformes, Catostomidae.
AUAAAAGGAAUAAAUAGAUGUGUCUACUACUUCCAUGUGUUUUUCAAGUAAUUUCAGUCUCCCAUGGUUGCAUAGAAACCACUGGUGUUCAGGCCCGUUAACUGUGAUUCCUGUCUUGAACGGUGCCAAAAAGGGAACGGGUCCAGCAGAGAAUUCUUAGCUUAUCAUGGCAAUGUUUAUUGAGUUCAGAUUUGAUGUCCUGGGGCUGGCUUUCCUCUACGCAUGCUACCUCUUAAUGAACUCUGGGCUAACAGAUAUAACCGAGCACAACCGUCACACUUCCUGGAACCACUUCGUCACUGGUGUUCACCGCCAUGGUCAAUCCAGCACCCUACUCUGGCUCGGCAGAGGACUGCAAUGGCUUUCUGCUUCAGUGUUCAUUUGCCCUGGAAAUGCAGCCUCAGUACUUCGCUACUGAUAGAGCCAACAUCCUGUCAUUACUUACCGGCAGAGCUCUACAAUGGGAAGAAUCCUUAUGAAAUCAAUCUAGUCCCAUCAUACAGUCGCUGGAUUCAUUCAUCGCUCAUCGCAACACAAGUUUUCAGACAACCCGCUGGUGACACCACAGUGAGUGAAAAAUUAAUUAAAAUCCGUCAAGGAAAGGAUAAUAUUGUUGAUUACUCCCUCAAGUUCUGAACCCUUGCAGCAGCUAGCAGAUGGAAUGAACCAGCAUUACAUACCACCUACCACCAAGGGUUGAAUCCAGUGCUGCGCCUACGAUAACACCAUAGGGCAAGAGCGUUUCAUUCAGUUAUCCAUCUGUGUGGCUCAUCGAAUGAAGGAAUGUCUAGAAGACCAGCCAGCCUUGCAGUCACUCCUCACUACCCACCAGCCAUUCCGUCAGCUCCUCCAGGGCCAGUCUUAGAACCCAUGCAAGUGGAUGUGUUUCACCUCUCCCCUGCAGAAAGACUUUGCCAGCUGACCCAGCAUCUUUACCUAUAUUGCGGUGCGAAGGGACACGUAAAAUCCUUGUGUCCCGUCUGACCUCCAUUACCAGGGUCACCACCCUCCUCGACUCUAGGUCAGCCGGCAAUUUCAUCUCGGGAGCGCUCUGCCAAAGGCUCCAGCUCAAAAAGGAACACUGCUCGUCUGAAUACUUCAUUCAAUCCAUAAUCGGAAUACCCCUGGGGAGAGGCAUCAUCAAGCACUGUGCCGGUCCCUUGCAACUUCAAGUUGGCAGCCAACAUGUGGAAACCAUCACCCUACUGGUUCUGGAGCACUCAACAGCUGAUGUGAUCCUAGGGCGUCCAUGGCUCGUCCGACACAAUCCACAAAUAUCUUGGAGUAUGGGUGACAUGCCUGCCUGUGACCAAACAUCUAUGUUCACCUGUGUUGCAGAUAUAAUAAACCUCCAUUGAGAGCCCUCCAGAUCAACUAUCUGUGGAUAUUCAUGCAUGUUACACCCACUUCCAGGAUGUCUUCUGCCUGAGACGAGCCUCUCAGUUUCCACCACACUGACCAUGGGACUGUGCUAUUGACCUGAUUCCUGGUGAACCAGUGCCCAGAGGUAAAAUAUAUCCGUUAUCUCUCCCAGAACAGCAAGCCAUGGAGGAGUACAUUACUGAGGCUCUCAAGCAGGGCUACAUCAGACAUUCCACAUCUCCUGCUGCUUCCAGCUUCUUCUUUGUUUCCAAGAAGGAUGGAGGUUUGCGGCCCUGCAUCGACUACAGAUCUCUAAAUAAAAUCACAGUCAAGUUCCGAUACCCACUUCCCCUCAUCCCUGCUGCACUGGAACAGUUGCGUGGAGCUACACUUUUCAGCAAGCUUGACCUGCGCAGCGCCUACAGUCUGAUUUGGAUCCGGAGUGGGGACGAAUGGAAGACCACCUUUGUGACCCCUACUGGCCACUAUGACUACCAGGUCAUGCCGUACGGCCUGGUCAACGCCCCCUCCGUAUUCCAGGGAUUCAUGAACGAGGUGUU